RNAcentral lists this ribosomal RNA (990 nucleotides) under uncultured Glomus. RNAcentral describes it as "bacterial SSU rRNA". The stretch from base 1 to 456 matches the Rfam family "Eukaryotic small subunit ribosomal RNA", at positions 1357 to 1831 of the family's 1831-position model. Lineage: Eukaryota; Fungi; Glomeromycota; Glomeromycetes; Glomerales; Glomeraceae. The record is from RNAcentral.
AGCUAGGUCUAACAUUGUUAGGUUGUCAGCUUCUUAGAGGGACUAUCGGUGUUUAACCGAUGGAAGUUUGAGGCAAUAACAGGUCUGUGAUGCCCUUAGAUGUCCUGGGCCGCACGCGCGCUACACUGAUGAAGUCAUCGAGUUCAUUUCCUUUAUCGGAAGAUAUGGGUAAUCUUUUGAAACUUCAUCGUGCUGGGGAUAGAGCAUUGCAACUAUUGCUCUUGAACGAGGAAUCCCUAGUAAGUACAAGUCACUAGCUUGUGCUGAUUACGUCCCUGCCCUUUGUACACACCGCCCGUCGCUACUACCGAUUGAAUGGCUUAGUGAGGCCUUCGGAUUGAGAUUCGGAGUUUGGCAACAGACCCUGGGUUUUAAAAAGUUGGUCAAACUUGGUCAUUUAGAGGAAGUAAAAGUCGUAACAAGGUUUCCGUAGGUGAACCUGCGGAAGGAUCAUUACCGAUUUUAGCGAACCUGACCUUUUGGGUCAUGGUCUCGCGAAAACUUUGUAUUUAAAACCCCACUCUUUGUAAUAUAAAUGAAUCAUUUAUUAUUGUAAUAAUAAAUAAAGAUCACUUUCAACAACGGAUCUCUUGGCUCUCGCAUCGAUGAAGAACGUAGCGAAGUGCGAUAAGUAAUGUGAAUUGCAGAAUUCCGUGAAUCAUCGAAUCUUUGAACGCAAAUUGCACUCUCUGGCAUCCCGGGGAGUAUGCCUGUUUGAGGGUCAGUGUAAUUAAAAAUCGGUAUGUUGCACUCCUAGUGUGUGUGACGUUCCGGAAUUUGGGUUAUCUUAGACCUUCAUGGUUUAAGAGGUUUAAAAUUGACCAUCUUUUGCGCAUUUUUUAGACGUACAUAAAUUUUUUUUUAUUCGUCUUGAUUGUGCCAAAAUUUUUAUUAGACGCGACCAUAUAUCAUAUGGUUCCCGUGUCUAUAAGUUUUUCAUGAUUUGACCUCAAAUCAGGUGGGAGUACCCGCUGAACUUAAGCAUAUCAA